RNAcentral lists this ribosomal RNA (565 nucleotides) under fungal sp. RNAcentral describes it as "eukaryotic LSU rRNA". The stretch from base 35 to 188 matches the Rfam family "5.8S ribosomal RNA". Lineage: Eukaryota; Fungi. The record is from RNAcentral.
UGUCAAAUCUGAAUCAAACUAAGAAAUAAGUUAAAACUUUCAACAACGGAUCUCUUGGUUCUGGCAUCGAUGAAGAACGCAGCGAAAUGCGAUAAGUAAUGUGAAUUGCAGAAUUCAGUGAAUCAUCGAAUCUUUGAACGCACAUUGCGCCCAUUAGUAUUCUAGUGGGCAUGCCUGUUCGAGCGUCAUUUCAACCCUUAAGCCUAGCUUAGUGUUGGGAGACUGCCUAAUACGCAGCUCCUCAAAACCAGUGGCGGAGUCUGUUCGUGCUCUGAGCGUAGUAAUUUUUUAUCUCGCUUCUGCAAGCCGGCCAGACGACAGCCAUAAACCGCACCCUCUCGGGGGGCACUUUUUUAAUGGUUGACCUCGGAUCAGGUAGGAAUACCCGCUGAACUUAAGCAUAUCAAUAAGCGGAGGAAAAGAAACCAACAGGGAUUGCCCUAGUAACGGCGAGUGAAGCGGCAACAGCUCAAAUUUGAAAUCUGGCCUUCUGGUCCGAAUUGUAAUUUGUAGAGGAUGCUUUUGGUUAGGUACCCUUUCGAGUUCCUUGGAACAGGACGCCUUA